GUUACUUCUUACUUGUGAACACCUCUUAAUUUUUUGCGUGUGUUCCUGUUUCGGAAGCAUAGAUUAAUACUUAUGCCAGUUUUAAACAGCGUGGUGAAUGUAUCUCUUUGCACACCGCUACCUGUCUUCUGGUACAAGC
Molecule: non-coding RNA, 139 nt
Organism: Capsicum annuum
Lineage: Eukaryota; Viridiplantae; Streptophyta; Magnoliopsida; Solanales; Solanaceae
Source: Rfam